GACGAACGCUGGCGGCGCGCCUAACACAUGCAAGUCGAACGAGCGAGAGAGAGCUUGCUUUCUCGAGCGAGUGGCGAACGGGUGAGUAACGCGUGAGGAACCUGCCUCAAAGAGGGGGACAACAGUUGGAAACGACUGCUAAUACCGCAUAAGCCCACAGGUCGGCAUCGACCAGAGGGAAAAGGAGCAAUCCGCUUUGAGAUGGCCUCGCGUCCGAUUAGCUAGUUGGUGAGGUAAUGGCCCACCAAGGCGACGAUCGGUAGCCGGACUGAGAGGUUGAACGGCCACAUUGGGACUGAGACACGGCCCAGACUCCUACGGGAGGCAGCAGUGGGGAAUAUUGCACAAUGGGGGAAACCCUGAUGCAGCGACGCCGCGUGGAGGAAGAAGGUCUUCGGGAUUGUAAACUCCUGUUGUUGAGGAGGAUAAUGACGGUACUCAACAAGGAAGUGACGGCUAACUACGUG
RNAcentral lists this ribosomal RNA (467 nucleotides) under uncultured bacterium. Its description in RNAcentral is "bacterial SSU rRNA". It matches the Rfam family "Bacterial small subunit ribosomal RNA", at positions 28 to 507 of the family's 1533-position model. The record is from RNAcentral.